GCUCUCUCGCUCUCGCUCUCUUUAUCUAUCUCGGUGGAAACCGGGCGAAGUCGGACGCCUGUCCGUUCGCAACGCGCAGUCGGUUCGCUCCGCGCUCCUGGGGCUGCCACGCGAGAAGUGUUCUCCGAAGUUACGGCGAUAGUGCGGCAGCUGUGUCUGGGCUCGAUGCAUUUUUUCAUGCAGGAUCGAAGAAAAAAGAUGCCAGACCGCGCGCCGAUCGACACCGUCUCGACCAGAAGAUUAAUUAUUUCACGUAAACGUCGAUAAAAUGUAAGGAAAAAAGAAACUGUAUGCAUCUUGAAAUGUCAGAGAAUACGCAUGGAAGGUGACGAAAUGAUUCGUUCAGUUGUUACAAAGAAAUUUGGUUAAUUAAAUGUUAAAACGCGGACGAAAAUCAAAUGUUUAACCUCGAUGAUAAUCAAUGAAAUCUGAGGUAUUCCCUAAUAAUGUCAACUUCAAAAAAACAGGUGAGAUAGAUCCUUAUUCGAGGUCGUCAUUUAAUUAAUUUUAAUCAGUAUGCAGGUUUCCUUGCAUUUACGAGCUCGUAUGCGCCGCGUAAAUGCAUAAAGAUCCGCAAUCUAAUCAGCGUAUCUAACGGGAGGAGAUAUUUAGGUGGCCUCCUUCAGCCGAGCUACCCUGUAUAGAGUUCUCGCUGGUUCCAAUACGUGAAAAUCGUAUGUUCGCAGCCAUGCUGCAAGCCGGUUCGGCUCGCGUGGUAAUGCGAAAUCAAGAUCAACCCGAAGGUGACAAAAAAGAUGCAGUCCAUGAAAAGCGGUCGUCAUGUGAAUGAAAUUCGAAGGGUAUUCAGGUUUCCAAGAGCUCGCCGCCUUUGUGUGUCGAAUAUAAUUCUGAGAUCUGCCUUCUUCUACUUUACUCGCGUGCGAAAUACGAAAUCAUGUUCCCUUAUCGUCGGAAAUGUAAAUCUGUAUUUUAGAAUCGCUAUUUUCCAUUCGGAAUUUAUCUUGAAAAUCCCCCAAUUUCUUUCCGCUAAAGUUGGUUUUCAAUUUUACGUCGUCGUAGUAAAUAUCUUCUAUUCUGAAAAUAUCUCGAAAAUUCCCAGUUCCGUUCCGGUAAAACUAGCUUCCAAUUUUACAUCGUUGUAAUAAUUAUUUUCUAUUCUGAAAAUAUCUUGAAAAUUCCCAGUUCCUUUCCAGUAAAAUUGGCUUUCAAUUUUACAUCGUCGUAGUAAAUAUUUUCUAUUCUGAAAAUAUCUUGAAAAUUCCCAGUUUCUUUCCAGUAAAACUAGCUUCCAAUUUUACAUCGUCGUAAUAAUUAUUUUCUAUUCUGAAAAUAUCUCGAAAAUUCCCAGUUCCUUUCCGGUAGAAUUAUCUUUCAAUUUUACAUCGUUAUAGUAAAUAUCUUUUAUUCUGAAAAUAUCUUGAAAAUUCCCAGUUUCUUUCCAGUAAAACUAGCUUCCAAUUUUACAUCGUUGUAAUAAAUAUUUUCUAUUCUGAAAAUAUCUUGAAAAUUCCCAAUUUCUAUUCUGCAAUUAGAUUUCAAUUCGAUAUCAUUUCGAUCGAUAUUAUGCACAUGUAAAUCGUUCGGCCAUCUUCUCUUAAAUAAUCGAGAAAUUGAAAAAAAAGAGAAAGAUAUUUUUGCUGUUGUUCCUUUUUAUGAAAAAUUCAAAACGUCGUGUCUUUUUAGAACAGUUAAUUAUCUGGAAUGCCCAGAAAUUUUUUAUUCAACCCGACUCAAUAUGCAUUUAACGUUCUUUUAUUCCGUAUAUCGGAAAUCAAUAAUCAAUAAUAAAUUACGUUCGGAAACUGUUCCGCAACUGAAAAUAAAAUACGGACUUUGAUUUACCUGCAGAGUUGGCAGAAGUCUCAAAUACGGAUCAAGUUGUCCAACUGGCUGUGAAAUCGAAUCCGACGAAAGAUCGAUCGUAGGAAAUUAUAUUCGGAACACUGAACCUCCUAAUAAAAUAUUUCCCCGCAAUUUAA
Megalopta genalis is the source of this 1940-nucleotide long non-coding RNA. RefSeq lists it as uncharacterized. The record is from RefSeq and is a predicted model, not a curated record. Lineage: Eukaryota; Metazoa; Arthropoda; Insecta; Hymenoptera; Halictidae.